This 224-nucleotide ribosomal RNA is filed under the name uncultured bacterium. RNAcentral describes it as "partial 16S ribosomal RNA". It matches the Rfam family "Bacterial small subunit ribosomal RNA", at positions 15 to 216 of the family's 1533-position model. The record is from RNAcentral.
GAUCAUGGCUCAGGACGAACGCUGGCGGCGUGCUUAACACAUGCAAGUCGAACGAAGAGCGAUGGAAGCUUGCUUCUAUCAAUCUUAGUGGCGAACGGGUGAGUAACGCGUAAUCAACCUGCCCUUCAGAGGGGGACAACAGUUGGAAACGACUGCUAAUACCGCAUACGAUCUAAUCUUGGCAUCGAGGAUGGAUGAAAGGUGGCCUCUAUGUAUAAGCUAUC